AAGCUUUCGCUACUGCUGGGCAGACUCUGGAGCGUGGAAGGUGUUGAUUCAUCGCGCGUAAUGACACUUGAGAAAGAGAGCAAGGACUUUACCGUGGAUGACAUGCGUUUGAAGGGAUCAACGUUGAGAGUGGGUUUCACGGUUUCUAAAGUUAGGUGGCAGGUACGGUCGAACCCUCGCUUUGCCCUCAGUGGUUGAGUGUCGCGUGAGUAACUUUACCAAUUUUUUUUUCUCAUUUCAUUAUUUCAUUUCACUCUCUGUUUUCACUUUCUCGUUUCACUCUCUGAUUUCACUCUCCCUCAGUUUUCCCUCUUUCACGGUCAUUCUCGCAUUUCACCCUCGUUCUCAUUUUUCACUCUUCACAAUUGGUGCCAUUGCAACUCGUAAGAAAAUUUCUCUCUCAUUUCACUAUCCCUCUCAUUUCACAGUCUCUGAUUUUCUUUCUUUGCUGCUUCAAUGCUGCAUUGUAGGUUCCAUUAUUUUCGAAGUGGCAGUGGUGAAGUAUAGAUAGUGGAAGACGAACGAACCUUGCAGAUUUUUUGUCUUUGUAGAAGUUGAGUUGAUUGAGAGCAUUGCUGAUUGAAAUGUUAGUUUAUUUUUUGGUGAUUUUUGUACAAAUGAUCCUUCAUUUUUUUAAUUAAUUUGAUCAAUAAUAUGUGAGAUGAUUUGUUAUUUAACCAGAACAUUGAUAUUGGUCUCACUUAUGUUUAUCAGAACGCAGAUGCCUAAUUUGUAAUGGAUUUGCUUAUUUAUCAUUAUUUUAAGUUUUUAAAGUUUUGGUAGGUUUUGGUUCAUGUUUGUUUGUUUAUCGUUGGGACUGUUUUGGUUUAAUUCUAAUGAAUAUUCUAUCGUUUCUUAAUUAUAUAUUAUUCAUCCUUAUAUCGUUAAUUUGGUAAAGUUGUAAGAAAUGGAAGUUUUAGGUUUUGGGAUGGUGGAAUAAUCUGAUUGAUGAAUUGUUUUGUUUAUGAUGUGAAUGUUUGUGAGUUGCAGUUUAUGUGCUGAUUCUUACAAUUUGGUUGUUGCUCUCUGAAUUUGAUAUCAAUUGAUGUUGCACAUAUGUGGUUUGAUGGGUUUUGUAGAUAGCUUUCUGCACAAAUUUUACUAGUUUAUGGUGAUGCUUUUCAUUUAAGGUACUUAAUUAAACAGUGAUAUUUUUUCAAUGGUGAGGUGCUUUUUGUAUUGUUCUGAAUCUAGUUUUUCUUAAUCUGGUUUUUCUCAAUCUGGUUUGGUGGGUUUUGUAGAUAGCUUUCUGAACAAAUUUUAUUUAUGGUGAUGCUUUUCAUUUAAGUCUUAAUUAAACAGUGAUACCAACAUCCUGCCCCAUCUAAUUCAAAAAAUAAAAAUAUUACAUAUAUUCCUAUGUGUGUAGGUAUGGACUGUCUGUAUGGCUGAUAUAUGGUGCACCAAAUCCAAUUCACUCGUGCAGUGGAAUCAAAGAAUGAAUUGCAGCUGAAGGAC
Molecule: long non-coding RNA, 1458 nt
Filed under: Phaseolus vulgaris (common bean)
Lineage: Eukaryota; Viridiplantae; Streptophyta; Magnoliopsida; Fabales; Fabaceae
Description: long non-coding RNA (PVUL_LNC003083)
Source: RNAcentral